GACGAACGCUGGCGGCGUGCCUAACACAUGCAAGUCGAGCGGGAACCUCAGGAGGGGUAACCCUUCCGAGGGGAGAGCGGCGAACGGGUGAGUAACACGUGGGCAACCUGCCCCGGACACCGGGAUAACCCAGGGAAACCUGAGCUAAUACCGGAUACUCCGGCGCGAUCGCAUGGUCGCGCCGGGAAAGCUCCGACGGUCCGGGAUGGGCCCGCGGCCUAUCAGCUUGUUGGUGGGGUAACGGCCCACCAAGGCGACGACGGGUAGCUGGUCUGAGAGGACGGCCAGCCACACUGGGACUGAGACACGGCCCAGACUCCUACGGGAGGCAGCAGUGGGGGAUCUUGCGCUAAUGCGCGAAAGCGUGACGCAGCGACGCCGCGUGGGGGAUGAAGGCCUUCGGGUUGUAAACCCCUUUCGGCAGGGACGAAGGGAAACUGACGGUACCUGCAGAAGAAGUCCCGGCUAACUACGUGC
This 477-nucleotide ribosomal RNA is filed under the name uncultured bacterium. Its description in RNAcentral is "bacterial SSU rRNA". It matches the Rfam family "Bacterial small subunit ribosomal RNA", at positions 28 to 508 of the family's 1533-position model. The record is from RNAcentral.